Non-coding RNA from Nothobranchius furzeri (turquoise killifish), 3756 nucleotides. NCBI's taxonomy places the organism in Eukaryota, Metazoa, Chordata, Actinopteri, Cyprinodontiformes, Nothobranchiidae. The record is from RefSeq and is a predicted model, not a curated record.
ACCUGGCAGAGGGGCGCGUAGCAGGCACCCAGCAGUCAGACAGCAGAGUGCGCCAAGGCUGCAGUAAAUAUGUCUGCAAAAACUAAGUCUGGGUCACAGAAAAGGAAAGAGAGAAAGGAGAAAGGACAGGCAGAAGAGAGGGCGUCAGUAUGUCUCACAGUUUUUCUCAAAGAAAGAAUCAGCAGUUGAUGAUAUGUCAGCAGGUGUCCCCUCACAACCCAAUGAGCCCCAAGAAGGUGAGCAAUGUAGCAUGUUAGCUAGCAGCCUCAUUUAAGGCGGUCUGUGGGACGAGGCUGGUUAGCUUCCGAUUCGGGAAACGGCUAAAGGGCCAUUACACCCAAUUUUUCUCUACUCUGACCAUCUUUAAUCUGCUCUAGCUCAAAAACUACAACAGCCACACUGUUCAAACCCGUUCUAGAUUAUUCUACUCUAAUAGCAGAUUACAUCCAACCUUAUGUGGGAUUUGUGAAACCUUUUCCUGAUUUGUGAAACUUCAACAAAGCCUGAUUUAUGCGUUUUUUCAGCAUCUGGCCAACGAUGGAACAGCUGUAGCUCAAAAACUACAACAGCCACACUGUUCAAACCUGUUCUAGAUUAUUCUACUAUAAUAGCAGAUUGCAUCCAACCUUGUUUGGGAUUUGUGAAACCUUUCCCUGAUUUGUGAAACUUCAACAAAGCCUGAUUUAUGCGUUUUUCAGCAUCGGGCCAACACUGGAACAGCUCUAGCUCAAAAACUACAACAGCCACACUGUUCAAACCUGUUCUAGAUUAUUCUACAAUAAUAGCAGAUUGCUUCAGUCCACCCCCUCCAAGCAAGAAAAAAACGAACAACUUAUAAACAAAAAGGUUGCUGCUCAUACUGGGGAGGGGAAGGAAACAUUGGAGAUGAAACAAUUACCAUGAUCAACACAUGCACAAUUGACAAUCUCCCGUACAUUUUGCAUUUGGCAAUUAAACGAAAAGCAGGGGUUAAAAACGACAUUGAAGGACCUUUCAAACAUGGCAUGUGGGUGUCAACUUUGUUUGAGGUAGACAAACUUUUUGACAAGAAGGAAUGGGCACAGGGUAAAAUAUUGUGGUUGAAGAAAAUUGGCAGAUUUAAUGGACAUUCUUGGCCACACAGAAUCACAUAUCACACAGACAAAAUGUUGUGUUACAGAUAAUGUAAUAAUAACCAUACAAGUUAAUAAUUAUUUUUUUCAGCAACCCGAAGCCCUGCCAUGAAAAAGAUGCCCAACACGAACGUGUGUUUUUGCAUGGACUUCCUUGUGUUCUUCUGGUUACAGGAUUGCACAAAGGACAUGUUUCUGACAAGCUGUAUCCAACAUCCUUGCCAUUACUUGUGACAGUUCUUGGUGGAAAGUAAGACUUGCAUAAGAUAUCAAUUACUUGACUUUUUUUUUACAUUUAUUCUCUGCUGUUUUACAUACAAUUUCUAUUGUUAUAACAUUUAUUUUUUUGCUUUAUGGCUGCAGGUGUGGUUUCACUGCUGAUCGAAUGUUUCUGCAAAACAGAAAAUCAUUUUUUAACCAUAUAGAACAUUAUUUUGGGAAAUACAUAACGUACAACUGCAGCCAAUUAGUUAUUAUCUGUACAUCAUAUGAAAAACCGUAAUGACUGAAUUUCAUUAUGUAAAAACCAGUACAAGAUCAGAUAAUAUUUUUUGCUGGCUUAUCAAAUAGUGUUGCAAUAAGGUGGCCCCACUGUGUAACUGCAUAUUCUACUGGUUGUUGAAGUGACCACAUGUCCAUACAUUGCAGAACUACACUGUAUUAGUAAAUUCCCAUGGAUGUAGUCAUAAUAGAACAAUUACUUAUCACAGGCCAGCGGCUCUAUGUAACUAGCCAAAAUAAAUAAAUAAAAAGAAAUAUAGAAAAUCAUUCAUCCAUCAGUUGGCAUCCACUUUGUUAAGUUGUGGGGGCAGCAGCUUCAGCUGCGAGACCCAGACUUCCCUCUCCCCAGCCUCCUAGUCCAGCUCCUCAGGAGGAAUUCUAAGGUGUUCCCAGGCCAGCAUUCAUACAUAGUCCCUCUAGCAUGCCCUGGGUCGUCCUUCCAGUUGGACGUGCCCAGAACACCCAGCACAGGAAUAAUGCCAACAUAGAUUAAAGACAUGUAAUGGCUUUGGGAAAUUGAAAUUAAUGUCAGACACUAUCUCUGUGCUGUUUCAUAAAACAGGUAUGAGCCAGCAGCUGUCACAUAUCACCUUGGCGCAAAAAGUCACUUUGUGGCAUUCCACAAACUAGGAACAGACCAACAGCGGCACUUCUAUGACAGCUUGGCAGAAUCAAAACAAGCAGGGAGUGGAGAUGUAAGAGAUGCACAGAGGACCAUCCCAAAAACUCUUCAAACUAAAGCCAGACUUGGCAACUGCCUUUUAUUGUUGUGUUCAGUACCUUGGGCUUCUGCGGGUUGUGGAAGGUGCUCUAUGAAUGAAUGAAUGAAUGAAUGAAAACUAUUAGUUAUUAGUUCAAAGACCAAUAAAUACCCAACUGCAUAAAAAACACACUCAGACAUUGAACCAGACACUGAAUUUCUUUCUUUCAUUAAUUUUUUUAAAGGCCCACAUACAGUCCAUACAGCUUCUCCUUCAACCACCAACCCUCCUCAACACCACAACCUCCCUUCUCAGGCCCUGUCCACAUGUAGCCGGGGAUCUGCCAAAACGUAGAUAUUUUUCUACGUUUUGGCCUGUCAUCCACACGAAAACGGAGUUUUUUCACACGAAAACGGAUCUUUUUAAAAACUCCGGCCAAAGUGAAGAUCUGCGUUUUCUCCGUUUUGGGUGUCUGCGUGUGGACAGACAAAACCGGAGUUUUAAGGUCCGCAACGUCACUUUCCACGACAAAAAAAUGCUGACAUCACGUGUGCGACCUGUGUUUACACUAGCCGACAGCAUGGAUGCCCUCAGAGCUGCGCUCGCUUUAUCAAUUGUCCAAGCGCUUUUUGCUUGUUUGUUUUUGCAAGCGGAAUCACUGCUCCUUGCGGAAGACCACAGACGAAGGACGAGGUUAAGAACGGGGGAAGUACUGCCGCCUACCGGUCUGGCAUGUUCUUAACAACGUAUUUAUCUGGGUACGUGUGGACAGAGUUUAUUUUUAAAACGAGGUGGUGUGGAUGCAAAUUUUUGGAGGGGCGGAUAUUCGUUUAAAAAAAACCCGGCUACGUGUGGACUAGGCCUCAGUUACAUUUGACCAGGUGACGGGAGAAGAGGCGGCUUAAGGGCAGGAAAGCUGCAGGACCCAGACUGCUCAAAUGCUGCUCCAGCUUUGUAAAGUUGUCAUGCAAAUGUUGAACCUGAACCUUUGUUUGGAGCAGGUCCCCAUCCUGUGGAAGACCUUGUCAUGAGCCGGGGUGAGUACUUUUCUCAACUUUCCACCUUGAGUUGUGUUUUGCAGGAGAGGGAGUGUUCCAGCCGCACCUGGUCUGCAAUCGGCGGGUCUCCUACAUAAGGUGGAUGAAGAACACAGCUCGACGCCGGAUGAUUGCUACAGCUUGGUUUUCUCGACACCUCAGGAUACCACACUUGUGCUCCAUAGGAUUUCCGGACCUCACUCACCUGACCGACCCGCUCUCUUACUCACCUCACGCUCCCUCUCCUGGACUCCUCCACUUUGAUACACCCCGGCUCACAACCUCCCCCCUCACUCCAGAGCUUUCCCUCAUCCCCAAUGCUGCACUCCCGUUCCCCAUCCCACUGGACUUCCCAGUGCGCCUUCAGUUAAACCUUUUCAUAAUAAAAUAUAUUAUUUAUCCAUC